UGAGGCCGAAAAUGGGCCUAUACCAUGUCGGCCGAAAAAGGGUCACAUCUGCCGAAAAUAGGGCAGAAUGACUUGUCAGGUCCUCUGAUCAUGACCGAAGACCCGACAUCGGGAGGGGGCCCGGUGGCUUGCCCUGUGUGCCGCCGGGUGCAAGGCCCCUCCCAUCUGCGCGGCCAGUACAGUCUGCAGCUCUGCCCAGUGUGAGCUGUAGACUGUGCUGUAUCUCACGAUCUCUG
Pelobates cultripes (western spadefoot toad) is the source of this 236-nucleotide non-coding RNA. Lineage: Eukaryota; Metazoa; Chordata; Amphibia; Anura; Pelobatidae. The record is from the annotation of a GenBank genome assembly.